Molecule: ribosomal RNA, 371 nt
Filed under: uncultured bacterium
Lineage: Bacteria
Description: bacterial SSU rRNA
Rfam family: Bacterial small subunit ribosomal RNA
Source: RNAcentral
GGAGGGUGCGGGCGUUGUCCGGAAUCAUUGGGCGUAAAGGGCGCGUAGGUGGCCGAGUAAGCGUGCGGUGAAAGCUCGGGGCUCAACCCCGAGUCGGCCGUGCGAACUACUCAGCUCGAGCACUGUAGAGGCAGGCGGAAUUCCGGGUGUAGCGGUGGAAUGCGUAGAGAUCCGGAAGAACACCGGUGGCGAAGGCGGCCUGCUGGGCAGUUGCUGACACUGAGGCGCGACAGCGUCGGGAGCAAACAGGAUUAGAUACCCUGGUAGUCCACGCCGUAAACGAUGGGCACUAGGCGCUUGGGGGAGCGACCCCCCGAGGGCCGGCGCUAACGCAUUAAGUGCCCCGCCUGGGGAGUACGGCCGCAAGGCUG